UAAGUCGUUGCUAAGUGGUAAGGAUGUGGAAGCACACAGACAACCAGGAGGUUGGCUUAGAAGCAGCCAUCCUUUAAAGAAAGCGUAAUAGCUCACUGGUCAAGUGAGUCCGCGCCGAAAAUUUAACGGGGCUAAAGUAACGCACCGAAGCUGCGGGUUGAUUUUAUCAGCGGUAGGCGAGCAUUGUCACAACUGUGAAGCCAGACGGUAACGACUGGUGGAGUGGUGACAAGAGCGAAUGCAGGCUUGAGUAGCGAUAAACCGAGCGAGAAACUCGGUCGCCGUAAGCCCAAGGGUUCCUGGGGUCAAGUUAAUCUUCCCAGGGUUAGUCGGUUCCUAAGCCGAGGCCGAAAGGCGUAGGUAAUGGAAAGCAGGUUAAUAUUCCUGCACUAGUAAGGAUGACGUUGAACGCAGGAAGGACGGAGAAGGGUCGCUGAGCCGUAGCAUGGUUUGCUCGGUUCAAACCGGUAGGCCGUCUCUUUAGGACCCCAACGUGGGACAAACGAAGAGACACUAGGCUGAGAGGUCAUGAGGAG
RNAcentral lists this ribosomal RNA (536 nucleotides) under uncultured bacterium. RNAcentral's name for it is "bacterial LSU rRNA". It matches the Rfam family "Bacterial large subunit ribosomal RNA", at positions 1049 to 1573 of the family's 2925-position model. The record is from RNAcentral.